RNAcentral lists this transfer RNA (84 nucleotides) under Pisciglobus halotolerans. RNAcentral describes it as "tRNA-Leu". It matches the Rfam family "tRNA". From Rfam's summary of the family: Transfer RNA (tRNA) molecules are approximately 80 nucleotides in length. Their secondary structure includes four short double-helical elements and three loops (D, anti-codon, and T loops). Further hydrogen bonds mediate the characteristic L-shaped molecular structure. tRNAs have two regions of fundamental functional importance: the anti-codon, which is responsible for specific mRNA codon recognition, and the 3' end, to which the tRNAs corresponding amino acid is attached (by aminoacyl-tRNA synthetases). tRNAs cope with the degeneracy of the genetic code in two manners: having more than one tRNA (with a specific anti-codon) for a particular amino acid; and 'wobble' base-pairing, i.e. permitting non-standard base-pairing at the 3rd anti-codon position. The record is from RNAcentral. Lineage: Bacteria; Bacillati; Bacillota; Bacilli; Lactobacillales; Carnobacteriaceae.
GCGGUCGUGGCGGAAUGGUAGACGCGCUGGCUUGAGGGGCCAGUCGAGAUAUUCUCGGUGGAAGUUCAACUCUUCUCGGCCGCA